AAUACCAUUUUAUCCGCCCCCAUCCCGAGCUGCUUUCUCUCUCCCAAGGCGAUUUCCAGAUCUAGGGUUUCAAUGACAUCGAAUCGUUGAUUUUCUCUCUAUCCCACAGAAGAUCCACUGGGGUUGACCUCUAGGUACCGUUUUAAACCAUCUUCUCUGAGAUCGGCUGCUGCUUAUGUUAAUCCUCAUGGUCUUCUGUUCAGAUCUGGUUUUAAUACAGAGAACUAAAGGCUAGGGUUCGACUAACUGGCAGUUAACUUCUCCGAGAUCCGUUGCUGCUCGUGUUAAUCCUCAUCUUCUUCUGUUCAGAUCUGGCUUUAAUAAUGAGAACUAAAGGCUAGGGUUCGACUAACUGGCAGUUAACUUCUCCGAGAUCCGUUGCUGCUCGUGUUAAUCCUCAUCUUCUUCUGUUCAGAUCUGGCUUUAAUAAUGGUGGCUGAACAACAAGUGAGUAGCUUGUGUUUGGAGGCUCAUGAGUUCAUGAUUGCUGGUAGAUGGUUGGAUUUGGCUUUGUUGAUGAUUACUUCUGCUGAUUUGGUGUUUUCCAAAGCGUCAAAUAAAGUGAGAGAAGACGAAGGCUUCCGGCGAGAAAGUUAGGAAUGAUAUGAUUCACGUCAAAGUUUAAGCGUUAUUUAACGAAGGACCUGCCAGAUAUUGUGAUGCAGGUAUCUGUGAUGAAAAGGCUUCGACAUCCAAAUAUUGUGCUCUUCAUGGGUGCAGUAAUUUCACCUAACCACAUGGUGACGUUUUUUUGCGUCGUACGAUCCAUGUCGGCCCGGUGUCCGAGUUGCUGUCCAACUGUGCGUAAAGGCCCGUGUUAAGGUAAGAAUGGUGACGGGUGACAAUCUUCAAACCGCCAAGGCAAUUGCGUUAGAAUGCGGUAUACUUGGGUCAGAUGCGGACGCUACCAAGCCAAACCUAAUUGAAAGGAAGUCCUUCCGUGCAAUGUCGGAUGCACAAAGACUCGAAGUAGCUGAGAGGAUAUCGGUGAUGGGGAAGUCGUCUCCUAACAAUAACUGUUACUCGUGCAAGCUCUGAGGAAAAGAGGACAUGUCGUUGCGGUUACUGGAGAUGGAACUGGCGAUGCCCCUGCUUUACAUGAGGCGGAUAUCGGUCUUGCUAUGGGUACUCAAGGCACUGAAGUAGCAGAAGAGAGUAGUGACAUCAUCAUAUUGGACGAUAACUUUGCUUCGGUUGUUAGGGAGGUUGAAAAGAGGUGAACAGCUGGGUUGAAAAGAGGGAAUAGUGGUCAACAAUGGUCAGAAGGGUGAAAAGAGGGAACAACUGUAGCUUGCUUGAAAAGAGGGAACAAUGGUCAACACUGGUCGGUAUGCUGAAAAGAGGUGAACUGUGGUCAGAAUUCAGCAGUCUGCUGAAAAGAGAAUACUAUUUUCAUCUGGGUCUUCCAUUGUUUCUCACCUCUAUUCCUAACACAUUUGAUUCUUGCAUUAUUUCUCUAUUUUUAACAUCUUGGUUCUGCGUUGUGGUAAGUAUUUCUCACAUUUCGACUGUUUAUUUUGUAUGUGUGUUGUACUCUUACAUAGUGAUAACAAUGUUUGAUACACCGAUUGUAAAAAUCUUACACUAUUUUAGUUGUUAAGACUUAUCGACUGUUUUAUUUUA
Molecule: long non-coding RNA, 1623 nt
Organism: Helianthus annuus (common sunflower)
Lineage: Eukaryota; Viridiplantae; Streptophyta; Magnoliopsida; Asterales; Asteraceae
Exons: 10
Source: RefSeq, a predicted model, not a curated record